This 833-nucleotide long non-coding RNA is filed under the name Sorghum bicolor (sorghum). RNAcentral describes it as "long non-coding RNA (SBIC_LNC007117)". Lineage: Eukaryota; Viridiplantae; Streptophyta; Magnoliopsida; Poales; Poaceae. The record is from RNAcentral.
GGUGAAAUAUGAUAUUCCCUUCAUUCCAAAUUAUAAGUUAUUUUAAGAAUCUUGGAGUGUCAAAACAUCUCAAGUUUGAUCAAAUUUAUAUCAUAAUAUAAUAAUAUUUAUGAUACUAACUAAGUAUUGUUUAGGUUUUUUUAUUAAUUAUAUUUUCAUAGUAAUAUAUAUUUAAUGUCAUAAUUUUUUCUAUUUUUCUAUAAUUUUUGUUAAACUUGAGUUGAAAUGGUUUAUAAAUUGGCCGGGAUCGACAGAGUACUACGGAUGAAAUAUGACCCCGCACAUGACCUGACUCAACAGUCAACACCAUCGCGCUCCUCGACCCGAAGACACCUGCGGAUCAAUAUUUCACUGCACAUGCCUGCUGCAACUGCAACCGCACUGCAUCUGCACAGAUGUAGGCAUGCACAUGCAUGUAUCUCCUGCAGUGCACAGCUGGAAAGGUAUGGUCUCCGAUCGGCUAGUCGUCAUGUAUAAUAUAACAAUAUGAUUGUGUCAACUGUGUUGUUUUAUUUUUUAUUUUUUGAGAAACUUGUGUCAACUGUUGUUGUUGGUAGCAGCGGUCAAGCAGGUGCGGUGCCGCGGUCAGGACGGAUCCAUAUGACUUGGUCGGUGAGGGUGUGGGCCAGCCCUCUGCCGCCGGUCUCUUGACACGUUCGCCAUGUAUAUUGAUGGAUCCAUUCAUUUGCGUUGCGCAGCACAAAAUGUCAACCCGACGAAGGCUCACUGAUAAAAAUCGACAGGCUCCUCCUAAUCCGUCCAUCUCCUAUUUUUCUGCCACGUACAGCUUUCAGUUACUAGCUGUCUCUCUGGCUUGAAUUGUGUUUUAGCUG